RNAcentral lists this ribosomal RNA (700 nucleotides) under Kytococcus sp. K186. Its description in RNAcentral is "bacterial SSU rRNA". It matches the Rfam family "Bacterial small subunit ribosomal RNA", at positions 69 to 781 of the family's 1533-position model. The record is from RNAcentral. Lineage: Bacteria; Bacillati; Actinomycetota; Actinomycetes; Micrococcales; Kytococcaceae.
GAAGCGGGUGCUUGCACUCGUGGAUCAGUGGCGAACGGGUGAGUAACACGUGAGUAACCUGCCCUCCACUCUGGGAUAAGCGCUGGAAACGGCGUCUAAUACUGGAUACGACCGACCCUCGCAUGGGGUGUUGGUGGAAAGAUUUAUCGGUGGUGGAUGGACUCGCGGCCUAUCAGCUUGUUGGUGGGGUAAUGGCCUACCAAGGCGACGACGGGUAGCCGGCCUGAGAGGGCGACCGGCCACACUGGGACUGAGACACGGCCCAGACUCCUACGGGAGGCAGCAGUGGGGAAUAUUGCACAAUGGGCGAAAGCCUGAUGCAGCGACGCCGCGUGAGGGAUGACGGCCUUCGGGUUGUAAACCUCUUUCAGCAGGGAAGAAGCUUUUGUGACGGUACCUGCAGAAGAAGCACCGGCUAACUACGUGCCAGCAGCCGCGGUAAUACGUAGGGUGCGAGCGUUGUCCGGAAUUAUUGGGCGUAAAGAGCUUGUAGGCGGUUUGUCGCGUCUGCUGUGAAAAUUCAGGGCUUAACCCUGGACGUGCAGUGGGUACGGGCAGACUAGAGUGUGGUAGGGGAGACUGGAAUUCCUGGUGUAGCGGUGGAAUGCGCAGAUAUCAGGAGGAACACCGAUGGCGAAGGCAGGUCUCUGGGCCAUUACUGACGCUGAGAAGCGAAAGCAUGGGGAGCGAACAGGAUUAG